RNAcentral lists this ribosomal RNA (227 nucleotides) under uncultured bacterium. Its description in RNAcentral is "partial 16S ribosomal RNA". It matches the Rfam family "Bacterial small subunit ribosomal RNA", at positions 107 to 334 of the family's 1533-position model. The record is from RNAcentral.
UGAGUAACACGUAUCCAACCUGCCGUCUACUCUUGGACAGCCUUCUGAAAGGAAGAUUAAUAUAAGAUGGCAUCAUGAGUCCGCAUGUUCACAUGAUUAAAGGUAUUCAGGUAGACGAUGGGGAUGCGUUCCAUUAGAUAGUAGGCGGGGUAACGGCCCACCUAGUCUUCGAUGGAUAGGGGUUCUGAGAGGAAGGUCCCCCACAUUGGAACUGAGACACGGUCCAA